Molecule: long non-coding RNA, 237 nt
Organism: Melitaea cinxia (Glanville fritillary)
Lineage: Eukaryota; Metazoa; Arthropoda; Insecta; Lepidoptera; Nymphalidae
Exons: 3
Source: RefSeq, a predicted model, not a curated record
AUCAUAGCCGACUCUCAUCGAAUCAACACUGAUUCUUCCGGGGAUUCCCCCGGGGAUCUCGCUCAUCCGCUGUAGCCACAAGCUGGACUGCGCGAAGGCGGACGUCUCUCCCCAUUCGAAGAGUGCGAUCUCUUUGUUUUUUAACCGCAACAAACGAUAGGUCGAGUCGCCCUCCUGCUCUUGCGCUAGCGCUGUGAUUUUUGUGCGCCUUAUGCUUUUUUAAGUAGAAAUUACGCG